AUUGAACGCUGGCGGCAGGCCUAACACAUGCAAGUCGGACGGUAGCACAGAGGAGCUUGCUCCUCGGGUGACGAGUGGCGGACGGGUGAGUAAUGUCUGGGGAUCUGCCCGAUAGAGGGGGAUAACCACUGGAAACGGUGGCUAAUACCGCAUAACGUCGCAAGACCAAAGAGGGGGAACUUCGGGCCUCCCAAUAUCGGAUUAACCCAGAUGGGAUUAGCUAGUAGUCGGGGUAACGGCCCACCUAGGCGACGAUCCCUAGCUGGUCUGAGAGGAUGACCAGCCACACUGGAACUGAGACACGGUCCAGACUCCUACGGGAGGCAGCAGUGGGGAAUAUUGCACAAUGGGCGCAAGCCUGAUGCAGCCAUGCCGCGUGUAUGAAGAAGGCCUUCGGGUUGUAAAGUACUUUCAGCGGGGAGGAAGGCGAUGUGGUUAAUACCCGCAUUGAUUGACGUUACCCGCAGAAGCAGCACCGGCUAACUCCGUGCCAGCCGCCGCAGUAA
RNAcentral lists this ribosomal RNA (506 nucleotides) under uncultured bacterium. RNAcentral's name for it is "partial 16S ribosomal RNA". It matches the Rfam family "Bacterial small subunit ribosomal RNA", at positions 30 to 523 of the family's 1533-position model. The record is from RNAcentral.